AGGAAUGGAGAGACAACAGAGCAGAGUUUAGGAAGAAAGUGAGUCGCUGCGUCAGAAGAUCUCAAGAGAUGCUAUGAACAUGUCUCCUGCAAUGUUCGUGUUGUAGAAAUUUCUAUUCUAAUCUUUAUGAGAGAGCGCAAGCAGAACCAUGUUGAAGCAAGCAGCAGAUGAAAUCUGACUGUCUCAAAACUCAAAAGCUCCUCUUUUUCUUAAUUCAUUUUAUUUUCUUUUGGUUUUGGG
Molecule: long non-coding RNA, 240 nt
Filed under: Capsella rubella
Lineage: Eukaryota; Viridiplantae; Streptophyta; Magnoliopsida; Brassicales; Brassicaceae
Description: long non-coding RNA (CRUB_LNC002822)
Source: RNAcentral